GUGGGGAAUCUUGCGCAAUGGGCGAAAGCCUGACGCAGCCAUGCCGCGUGAAUGAUGAAGGUCUUAGGAUUGUAAAAUUCUUUCACCGGGGACGAUAAUGACGGUACCCGGAGAAGAAGCCCCGGCUAACUUCGUGCCAGCAGCCGCGGUAAUACGAAGGGGGCUAGCGUUGCUCGGAAUUACUGGGCGUAAAGGGCGCGUAGGCGGAUCGUUAAGUCAGGGGUGAAAUCCCAGAGCUCAACUCUGGAACUGCGCCUGGUACUGGCGAUCUUGAGUGUGAGAGAGGUAUGUGGAACUCCGAGUGUAGAGGUGAAAUUCGUAGAUAUUCGGAAGAACACCAGUGGCGAAGGCGACUCACUGGCCCAAUACUGACGCUGAGGCGCGAAAGCGUGGGGAGCAAACAGGAUUAGAAACCCCUGUAGUCC
This 425-nucleotide ribosomal RNA is filed under the name uncultured bacterium. RNAcentral's name for it is "partial 16S ribosomal RNA". It matches the Rfam family "Bacterial small subunit ribosomal RNA", at positions 354 to 796 of the family's 1533-position model. The record is from RNAcentral.